AUGAACGUUGGCGGCGUGGAUUAGGCAUGCAAGUCGAGCGCGAACCGUAGCAAUACGGGGAGAGCGGCGAAAGGGAGAGGAAUACGUGGAUACCUACCCUCAGGUUCAGGAUAGCUGUGGGAAACUACAGGUAAUACUGAAUAAUAUCUCCGGAUCAAAGGUGUGAUUCCACCUGAGGAGGGGUCCGCGUCCUAUUAGCUUGUUGGCGAGGUAACGGCUCACCAAGGCGAAGAUGGGUAUGGGAUGUGAGAGCAUGAUCCCACUCACUGGGACUGAGACACUGCCCAGACACCUACGGGUGGCUGCAGUCGAGAAUCUUCGGCAAUGGGGGAAACCCUGACCGAGCGACGCCGCGUGUGAGAUGAAGGCCUUCGGGUUGUAAAUCACUGUCAGAGGGGAGGAAAUGCUAGUGGGCUAUCCCAUUAGUUUGACCUAGCCUCAGAGGAAGGACGGGCUAAGUUCGU
RNAcentral lists this ribosomal RNA (464 nucleotides) under uncultured bacterium. RNAcentral describes it as "bacterial SSU rRNA". It matches the Rfam family "Bacterial small subunit ribosomal RNA", at positions 29 to 506 of the family's 1533-position model. The record is from RNAcentral.